CAGAGACCUCAAGCGUUAUCCGGAAUCAUUGGGCGUAAAGCGUACCGAUAGGUUGUUUACAAAGUCAGAGGUGAAAUCUCCGAGCUCAACUCGGAAUCUGUCCUUUGAAACUUGUAGACUAGAGGGGCAAAGAGGAAGCUGGAACAAACGGUGUAGUAGUGAAAUGCGUUGAUAUCGCUUGGAACACCAAUAGCGAAGGCAGGCUUCUGGGUGCCACCUGACACUUCUAGGACGAAAGCGUGGGGAGCGAAUGGGAUUAGAUACCCCAGUAGUCCACGCUGUAAACGAUGCACAUUAGGUGCUAGGGAGUAUCGACCCUCCUUAGUGCCAAAGCUAACGCGUUAAAUGUGCCGCCUGGGGAGUACGGCCGCAAGGCUA
RNAcentral lists this ribosomal RNA (378 nucleotides) under uncultured organism. Its description in RNAcentral is "bacterial SSU rRNA". It matches the Rfam family "Bacterial small subunit ribosomal RNA", at positions 526 to 896 of the family's 1533-position model. The record is from RNAcentral.